CAGCCGCCACGGUAAUACGGAGGGGGCUAGCGUUGUUCGGAAUUACUGGGCGUAAAGCGCACGUAGGCGGCUUGGUAAGUUAGAGGUGAAAGCCCGGAGCUCAACUCCGGAAUUGCCUUUAAGACUGCCGAGCUAGCAGGUGAGAGAGGUAAGUGGAAUUCCGAGUGUAGAGGUGAAAUUCGUAGAUAUUCGGAAGAACACCAGUGGCGAAGGCGGCUUACUGGCUCAUACUGGACGCUGAGGUGCGAAAGCGUGGGGAGCAAACAGGAUUAGAUACCCCAGUAGUCCCUGUCUCUUAUAC
RNAcentral lists this ribosomal RNA (301 nucleotides) under uncultured bacterium. RNAcentral describes it as "partial 16S ribosomal RNA". It matches the Rfam family "Bacterial small subunit ribosomal RNA", at positions 509 to 807 of the family's 1533-position model. The record is from RNAcentral.